RNAcentral lists this unclassified non-coding RNA (90 nucleotides) under Pseudomonas prosekii. The record is from RNAcentral. Lineage: Bacteria; Pseudomonadati; Pseudomonadota; Gammaproteobacteria; Pseudomonadales; Pseudomonadaceae.
UGUGGGAGCGAGCUUGCUCGCGAUGGCGGCGGCUCAGUCAACAUCAAUGUUGAAUGUCACUCCGUCAUCGCGAGCAAGCUCGCUCCCACA